GCAGGGCAACAGAGUCACCGCUUCUGCCAAGCUUUCUGGUGAAACACAAGCUUGGCAGAAGGGAUGACUCUGUUGCCCCCU
Molecule: microRNA precursor, 81 nt
Organism: Anolis carolinensis (green anole)
Lineage: Eukaryota; Metazoa; Chordata; Lepidosauria; Squamata; Anolidae
Source: Ensembl